GACGAACGCUGGCGGCGUGCUUAACACAUGCAAGUCGAACGGAAAGGCCCUUCGGUUUACGGGAGCUCCGAACGGGUAAGUGACACUUAAAUGACCUGUCCCUGACCUUGGUAUAGGCCUAAGAUACGGGGACUAGUACCGAUUACGGCAAAGCUUCCCUGGUGCUUUGUGGGGGAAGGUUUGCUUUGGGGGAUGGGGAUGGGGUCUAGGCCUAUUAGCUUGUUGGUGGGGCACUGGAUUACCACGGCGUUGACGGGUAGCGGGCCUGAGAGGGUGACCGGCCACAGUGGGACUGAGAUACGGCCCAGACUCCUACGGGAGGCAGCAGUGGGGAAUAUUGCACAAUGGGCGGAAGCCUGAUGCAGCAACGCCGCGUGCGGGAUGACGGCCUUCGGGUUGUAAACCGCUUUCGCCAGUGACGAAGCGUAAGUGACGGUAAUGGGUGAAGAAGCACCGGCUAACUACGUG
This 468-nucleotide ribosomal RNA is filed under the name uncultured bacterium. RNAcentral's name for it is "partial 16S ribosomal RNA". It matches the Rfam family "Bacterial small subunit ribosomal RNA", at positions 28 to 507 of the family's 1533-position model. The record is from RNAcentral.